This 74-nucleotide transfer RNA is filed under the name Chlamydiota bacterium. Its description in RNAcentral is "Chlamydiae bacterium tRNA-Cys". It matches the Rfam family "tRNA". Rfam says of the family: Transfer RNA (tRNA) molecules are approximately 80 nucleotides in length. Their secondary structure includes four short double-helical elements and three loops (D, anti-codon, and T loops). Further hydrogen bonds mediate the characteristic L-shaped molecular structure. tRNAs have two regions of fundamental functional importance: the anti-codon, which is responsible for specific mRNA codon recognition, and the 3' end, to which the tRNAs corresponding amino acid is attached (by aminoacyl-tRNA synthetases). tRNAs cope with the degeneracy of the genetic code in two manners: having more than one tRNA (with a specific anti-codon) for a particular amino acid; and 'wobble' base-pairing, i.e. permitting non-standard base-pairing at the 3rd anti-codon position. The record is from RNAcentral. Lineage: Bacteria; Pseudomonadati; Chlamydiota.
AGGUGGUAUGGCCAAGUGGUAAGGCAGGAGCCUGCAAAGCUCCCAUUCCCCAGUUCGAAUCUGGGUGCCACCUA